RNAcentral lists this ribosomal RNA (629 nucleotides) under uncultured organism. Its description in RNAcentral is "bacterial SSU rRNA". It matches the Rfam family "Bacterial small subunit ribosomal RNA", at positions 48 to 721 of the family's 1533-position model. The record is from RNAcentral.
UUAACACAUGCAAGUCGAACGCAACCUUCGGGUUGAGUGGCGGACGGGUGAGUAACGCGUGAGAAUCUGCCUUGGGGUCGGGGACAACCACUGGAAACGGUGGCUAAUACCGGAUAAGCCUUUGGGUAAAAAAUUUAUUGCCCCAAGAGGAGCUCGCGUCUGAUUAGCUAGUUGGUGAGGUAAAAGCUCACCAAGGCAGCGAUCAGUAGCUGGUCUGAGAGGACGAUCAGCCACACUGGGACUGAGACACGGCCCAGACUCCUACGGGAGGCAGCAGUGGGGAAUUUUCCGCAAUGGGCGAAAGCCUGACGGAGCAAGACCGCGUGAGGGAGGAAGGCUCUUGGGUUGUAAACCUCUUUUCUCAGGGAAGAAGCUCUGACGGUACCUGAGGAAUCAGCCUCGGCUAACUCCGUGCCAGCAGCCGCGGUAAUACGGAGGAGGCAAGCGUUAUCCGGAAUUAUUGGGCGUAAAGCGUCCGCAGGUGGCGAUUCAAGUCUGCUGUCAAAGCACGGGGCUUAACUCCGUUAAGGCAGUGGAAACUGAAUAGCUAGAGUGCCGUAGGGGUAAGAGGGAAUUCCCGGUGUAGCGGUGAAAUGCGUAGAGAUCGGGAAGAACAUCGGUGGCGAAAG